RNAcentral lists this transfer RNA (66 nucleotides) under Limnophyes minimus. RNAcentral describes it as "tRNA-Ile". The record is from RNAcentral. Lineage: Eukaryota; Metazoa; Arthropoda; Insecta; Diptera; Chironomidae. RNAcentral also lists the same sequence under 1 other name.
AAUGAUUUGCCUGAUAAAUGCAAUUAACUUGAUAGGGUAAAUCAUGUAAUAAUAUUAUAUUCAUUA